AGUGAACGCUGGCGGUAUGCCUAACACAUGCAAGUCGAACGGCAGCACAGUAAGAGCUUGCUCUUACGGGUGGCGAGUGGCGGACGGGUGAGGAAUACAUCGGAAUCUACUUUUUCGUGGGGGAUAACGUAGGGAAACUUACGCUAAUACCGCAUACGACCUACGGGUGAAAGCAGGGGAUCUUCGGACCUUGCGCGAUUGAAUGAGCCGAUGUCGGAUUAGCUAGUUGGUGAGGUAAAGGCCCACCAAGGCGACGAUCCGUAGCUGGUCUGAGAGGAUGAUCAGCCACACUGGAACUGAGACACGGUCCAGACUCCUACGGGAGGCAGCAGUGGGGAAUAUUGGACAAUGGGCGAAAGCCUGACCCAGCCAUACCGCGUGGGUGAAGAAGGCCUUCGGGUUGUAAAGCCCUUUUGUUGGGAAAGAAAAGCAGCAGGUUAAUACCCCGCUGUUCUGACGGUACCCAAUGAAUAAGCACCGGCUAACUUCGUG
RNAcentral lists this ribosomal RNA (492 nucleotides) under uncultured bacterium. RNAcentral describes it as "partial 16S ribosomal RNA". It matches the Rfam family "Bacterial small subunit ribosomal RNA", at positions 29 to 507 of the family's 1533-position model. The record is from RNAcentral.